Long non-coding RNA from Hemicordylus capensis (graceful crag lizard), 3529 nucleotides. RefSeq lists it as uncharacterized. The transcript is spliced from 3 exons. NCBI's taxonomy places the organism in Eukaryota, Metazoa, Chordata, Lepidosauria, Squamata, Cordylidae. The record is from RefSeq and is a predicted model, not a curated record.
GGCAGGUGUGGGCUGGUGGCCUGAGGCCCCCCUGGACCCUUGGAGGCCCCUCUCCCAACCUUGGAGGCCACGGACUGAGGGCCCAAGGUCCGGGGGUAAGAACGCCUCUGUCUGUGUGCCAGGCUUCUGCUAAAGUCACAGGAGCAGGAUAGUUAAAGACUUGACAACCCUGCCUACUUGUUUCCUAUGCCCACCACUGGGCCCUAGGAGACCUCUCAUACUUGUAUGGAUUCAAAAAGUGGCAGUUGCUGCUCUGGAUCCCAGAGCUGGGGGUGUUUACCUGGUCGCCAUGGCUCUGAGGUUCUGACAGAUUGUGAUGGAGGCUAGAGGUUCUGCUGCUGCUCAGGACUCAGCCACUGGCAGAAAGGCUUUCAGGUCUCUCCUGCUGGUCGUGCCAACCUUUCUCUCUCAUUUGAUUCUGAUUGAACAUUGAUCAGCAAAGAAGGGAUUCAGCGUGAAUUUGUGCUCUCCUCUCCAGUACAUAGAAAAGGAUGAUUCUCUACAUUUUCCUGUGGUUUCUCUCUGGUGUGAUAUUCUACCGGAUUAUUAGUUGGCAUUUUCAAGAAACAUGGCACUUUACAGGGUUUCACACAUCAAAAAGACAGUUCCCUGCCCUCAUGGAGCUUCCAGUCUAAAUCCUGACAGUGUCGAAGACAAAAAGGGAAGGCAAAGUGAACUAAGCAGUGAGCUAAGGAAGACACUGAUGUGAGGGAAAGAGGGUAGCCAAGAUUGGAAACAGAGAAAGCCCCUCUCAGACGCAAAGGAGGGGACAUGGCAGCACCUCUGAACAGGUGUCACUGUCUGCUGCUGAGUCAAACCAUUGGUCCAAUCAGUUCUUUAUGGUCUACUCAGACAACCACUCUCCAAGGCCUAAAACAAAGGCGCUGAGAGAGUUUUCUUAACAGAGAUUCUGAGGAUUCAUCUUGAGAACUAGUAUGAGCUCUGUCUCUGAGCUACAGCACAUGCACACCCCUCAGCUACAAAGCUAUGGCCCAGGAGAAAAGAGGGAACUUUGGUAGGUGCUGCUUGUCACUCCAAGGGUGAGAGAAGCUGCACCUCCCAAAUCUUACAAAUGAUAAGAAAGGCACAGGAAGCUUCAUGAGACGGGAAGCCGGCGCUCACCUGCCACCGCCACCAGAUUGAGCCCUGUGCCCGGCUGGGCAGGAAGAAAAAAACAAAGACGUGGGGUACAGAUUUUUCCUUCCCCUUCCCCAUUUCAGUUUUUUGUUUGGGGAAAUCCGGCACUGUCGAUUCUUCUCCACCUGCUGAUUGAUUCCUGGGGCGGGAGUUGAAAGCCUUGGUGAGGGAGGGGGCAUUUGGAGGAGGAGGAGGAAGCGGAGAAAGGAAACCUUCUGGACAGGAACAGCAGAGGUAAAGACAUCUUUUUAUUUAAUGUUUUUAUUUGGUGAGUAUGGAAUAUUUAAGGAGUAGGGGAGCACGCACACACACACACACACACUACCGCCCCACCACAUGCACACACAGACUCGCAUUCACACACCGAGAUACCAUCUGCAGUGUCAAUGUGGUGCCUACAUCACCCUGUACUUUCUGGUAGUGAGAUUUAAAUGUUAGUUCUGAUGCUGUGUGGAAAAAAUACGUGGGAGGGUUGUUGCCUUCACAUCCUACCUGGAGACAUUUGGCUGUCCACUGUUGGAAACAGGGUGUUCGGCAAGAUGCAUUUUUGAGCAUGGUUCUUCUUGUGCACUCAUACAAUUGUCUUUUAUCUUCUUUCUCGUCUCAAUGUCUUAAGGCCACAGGAAUGUGCUGCUGACAAUUAGCACCAAAUGGUUUCUUCUUUCAGUGAGUUAUUUCAUCCAAGGCCAAGACUCCCUGCAUCAGCAUUGAGAAUGAGGAGUUGGAAGAAGAAUAUACCUCUGGUUCACUAAACAGCGGGGAAAUGCUUGACUAACAAGCAGAAAGUUGCCAGUUCGAAUCCCUGCUGGUACUAUAUUGGGCAGCAGAGAUAUAGGGAGAUGCUGAAAGGCAUCAUCUCAUACUGCAUGGGAGGAGGCAGUGGUAAACCCCUCCUACCAAAGAAAACCGCAGGGCUCUGUGGGCACCGCCAGGAGUCAAAAUUGAAUUGAUGGCACACUUUACCUUUUACUUUUAUUAAGAUAUUCUUUUCUCAGAUGAAGGGCAACUUCAUGACCCUAGAACUGGAGCACCUUCCCUAAGAGCUGGCGGGGCGGGGGAGGUUGUGGGCUUUUUAGUUUAGCAAAAAGAAGCCUGCAGGGGAAUAUUAACAUUUCUUAACUCUGAGGACUAUGGAGGGAUUUUUUCUACAUCUCUCACUGCACUCUGGACUGAAGUCCAGAGCAGUUGAUUGGCAUUUGAUAUAGGGCAAAGAAAAGUUAUGUGGUGGGGUUUUUUUUAACCCAUGUAUGGAAUUCACUGCCACCAGAUAUGGUGAUAGGCCACUAACUUAAAAAAAAAAUUAUUAGACAUAUUCAUGGAGGAUAUGCCAAUUGAAGGCGAUUAGCCAUGAUAGUCUUGGAAUUUCCAAAUCCCGAAUGCACUCAGGUGUUGGGAACAGAUAACAGGGAAGAAUGGUUUUCUUCAAGCCUAGCUUAUGGGCUUCCUGGAGGCAUCUAGUUGUCCACUGCUGGAAACAGGCUGAUGGACUAUGCAUACAAUUCAUCUGAUUCUCCUCUCAGUGUCCAGAAGUCGCAGAGCUGGCUCAUGAACAAGCUGCUGAACACUUAUACAGUGGAGGAGUCAUCCUCUGAAGAUGGCUGUGUAAUGUGUAUUGAGCACAUACACAUUAUGAUUACAUAUGCCCUAUGAGUUAUGCUCACAUGAUGUGCUUUAGCUGUUUUCCUGUUUUUCUUCUGCCCUAUUUUGAAGUCCUGCUAAUGUUUGUCGCAUCAGCAUAUAUUAACUUCCCCACUAAGGUAGCCUCUGACCCACAAACAUCUGUGCUAAUUUAUGGAUUAAUAUAGAAAUUGGGCAACAAAACAUGUAACACAGUCUUAGAUGCUCAGGAUGGGAGGAAUCCUAGAAUUUUUCAGGAGCCCUGGGAGGUCAAAGCAAGUACCAGGACACUCAUUUUUCUCUUUUCUUAUUUCCAGUGGACAAGAUGUGGGACUGGUGGUAACCAACACCCAGUUUGACAAGGUACUCUGUUCUCAGCUGAAGUGCCACAGAAGUGGUUGAGGGAUUGGUGCAUCUUCUGGAGGAGGCCUGGGGGAGGUGUUUAAUUUAGCAACAAGAAGCCUGCAGGGGACAGUAGCAAUUAUUCUGGAUAAUUGGAGGGUGUUUUUGUUGGGAUGUAUGUGUAUAUACAUUAUCUUUGUUCUUGCCCCUGAUGUAAGUAUAUCUGCGUAUAGGCUUGGGGUAGAAUUUAGGAUGUUCAUGUCAAUCAUCAGUUCUGUAGACUGAUUGGUUAGUUUGUAUUUCUUACUGGACACUUGAGACUGUUAUUUUUCUGUUAAGAUGAUCUUUCACUCAGAGUAGGACUAUUUAUAAGUUUUCAAUAGUUAAGUAAUAAACCUUAAUAACUUUGUUUAAUAAACUUUAACAAACCUCA